This 425-nucleotide ribosomal RNA is filed under the name Escherichia coli. Its description in RNAcentral is "bacterial SSU rRNA". It matches the Rfam family "Bacterial small subunit ribosomal RNA", at positions 161 to 581 of the family's 1533-position model. The record is from RNAcentral. Lineage: Bacteria; Pseudomonadati; Pseudomonadota; Gammaproteobacteria; Enterobacterales; Enterobacteriaceae.
AGCUAAUACCGCAUAACGUCGCAAGACCAAAGAGGGGGACCUUCGGGCCUCUUGCCAUCGGAUGUGCCCAGAUGGGAUUAGCUAGUAGGUGGGGUAACGGCUCACCUAGGCGACGAUCCCUAGCUGGUCUGAGAGGAUGACCAGCCACACUGGAACUGAGACACGGUCCAGACUCCUACGGGAGGCAGCAGUGGGGAAUAUUGCACAAUGGGCGCAAGCCUGAUGCAGCCAUGCCGCGUGUAUGAAGAAGGCCUUCGGGUUGUAAAGUACUUUCAGCGGGGAGGAAGGGAGUAAAGUUAAUACCUUUGCUCAUUGACGUUACCCGCAGAAGAAGCACCGGCUAACUCCGUGCCAGCAGCCGCGGUAAUACGGAGGGUGCAAGCGUUAAUCGGAAUUACUGGGCGUAAAGCGCACGCAGGCGGUUU